AUUGAACGCUGGCGGCAUGCCUAACACAUGCAAGUCGAACGAGAUCUUCGGGUCUAGUGGCGCACGGGUGCGUAACGCGUGGGAAUCUGCCCUUUGGUUCGGAAUAACAGUUGGAAACGACUGCUAAUACCGGAUGAUGACGAAAGUCCAAAGAUUUAUCGCCAGAGGAUGAGCCCGCGUAGGAUUAGCUAGUUGGUGUGGUAAAGGCGCACCAAGGCGACGAUCCUUAGCUGGUCUGAGAGGAUGAUCAGCCACACUGGGACUGAGACACGGCCCAGCCUCCUACGGGAGGCCGCGGUGGGGAAUAUUGGACAAUGGGCGAAAGCCUGAUCCAGCAAUGCCGCGUGAGUGAUGAAGGCCUUAGGGUUGUAAAGCUCUUUUACCCGGGAUGAUAAUGACAGUACCGGGAGAAUAAGCUCCGGCUAACUCCGUGCCAGCAGCCGCAGUAA
This 449-nucleotide ribosomal RNA is filed under the name uncultured bacterium. Its description in RNAcentral is "partial 16S ribosomal RNA". It matches the Rfam family "Bacterial small subunit ribosomal RNA", at positions 30 to 523 of the family's 1533-position model. The record is from RNAcentral.